Bos taurus (domestic cattle) is the source of this 2432-nucleotide long non-coding RNA. The record is from Ensembl. NCBI's taxonomy places the organism in Eukaryota, Metazoa, Chordata, Mammalia, Artiodactyla, Bovidae.
GAGAAAGAGAGAGAGCAAGCGAGAGAGAGAGUAAGCGUGUGUGUGUGUGUGUGUGUGUGUGUGUGUGUGUAAAUAAUGACCUCCCAAAGAUGUCCAUGCCCUAACCCCCAGUGCCUGUGAAUGUGUGAUGCUACCUAGCAAGGGAGAAUUAAGGUUGCAGAUGGAAUUAAGUUUGCUUAUCACUUGACCUUAAAAUCAGGAGAUUAGCCUGAAUUAUUCAGGUGGGCCCAGUGUAAUCACAAGACUUCUUAAAAGAUGGAAGAGGAAGAAAAAUCAGUGUCAGGGGAUGCAAAGUGAAAAAAACCUCAACUUACUGUUUCUGGAUUUGUCAGAAGGGGGCCAAAGAAUAUGGGCAGCCUCUAGAGGCUAAAAAGAGCAGGCAGGUGUGGCUGGCUGGCCUAACAGCCUAGGAAGCUGAUUCCUCUUGGAGGGGCAGCAAACACCAGUCUGCCUUUGAGAUCUGCUGAACCACAAGGAGACUGCACUUCACUCUUUUUUUGUAGUGAGAUGCUGGCCACCAAAGCAGAACAUGCAAAGAUGACCCAGAACUGGUGUUCCAACCAUUCGUUGACUGAUCAUCAGAAGAUUAAGAGGCCAAAAAAAGUAGCAGAGAUUAGAGAGAAAAAUUCUUUCAGAAGAAUUUUGUGUGUGUGUUCGCUGGCACCCUCUCCCUCACCAGCAGCUCCAUGGACACCCAGACAAGCUCUUUUCAAUGAGAGCUUCCACCUCCUAUCAUUGUUCAAGCUCCUACCUUUAAAAAAAAAUACAUAUUUAUUUUUGGCUGCACUGGAUUUUUGUUGCUGUGGGAGCGCUUUCUCUAGUUGCCGUGAGCAGGAGCCGCUCUCUAGUUACGGUGGCUUCUCUUGCUGUGGAGCACAGGCUCUAGGCUUGUGGCCUUCAGGAGUUGCAGCCUAUGGGCUCGGAGGUUGUGGUGCAUCAGCUUAGCUGACUGGAGGCAUGUGGGAUCCUCCCGGAUCAGGGGUUGAAUCUGCAUCUCCUGCACCAGGUGGACUCCUAAUCACUGGACCACCAGCGAAGCCCCGAAGCUCCUACUUGGUGAACUUCCUUGGAUCUCAUGAAAACGCUUAGGAAUUAUUCCAAACUGCCAAUUGAAGGCCUCAACUAGAGGCUGAAGUUGCUGGAGGUCCUCCUCCAAAAGGCCAAGAGAGGAAGGAGCAAGGAAAGGGAAGAGUUCAAAACCAAACCAAACCACAAAAUAGCAGCUCUUCCUGUGGAAAUGUAGUGCUUUCCCCCUUAUUUUAAUAAUAUAAUUAUCAAGGUUAUCCAAAUAUUCAUUAUUGGAGUCCUUGUAGUUAGAAGAUUGUGGAGGGACAUGAAAGCCAUGAUAACACAAAAAUAUUUGUUCAUGAACACCCACCAUAAAUCCCACAAAGCCCUUUUUGGCUCAGUCUUCUGAUGACUGGGAUAUUAUAAACAUCUGACAGGACAAUGCAAGCUAUGCAAAUCUGUUUCAAAGUCAAAUUUCAAAUCUUGCAAAAGAUCAAGAAGAAUGAAGUUGGAAAAUUGCUCAAAUCAUAGCAAUGAAAAAUAGGGGCAUGACGGAGGUGCACCAGUUAACAACAGGAAAAAUUAAGAAUCAGCAGAGAUAGUGACCCCAGAGACACUUCAAAGGGAAACAUACACCUAUCAACCACUAUGAGAAGCCUUUGGGAAAACUCAUGAAGCACUUGCAUACUUUUGGAUAAAUGUCCUUUCAAAUAAGAUUGGCCAUGAAAGUAAAAUACAAAGCAAAAAAGGCAGUGCUGUUGUACAAAUAUUUUGAAAUUUUUUUCCCCAAAAUGAAUGGCUCGUCUUUUUCAGUCUAAGAUUGUGUAUUUGUAAUUAUAACUGAAAUUGCAUUUAGUAUAAGAUUUUAAAAGCUUAAUUUCAUAAUUUUCAGUUUUAUUUCUCAAGUUCAAGCCCCAAACAACCCUUUCUCCCACCUUCUGUUUGUUGUAAAUGUUCUGUCUUAAGUAGUUUCCUAUUAAGAGGUUGUACCAGAAUUAUACAGUAAUGAAGACCUUCUGCUCCUAAAACCCCAGUCUGAAGUACAUUCUUUGCAUAUGGAGAGCUUCUUUGAGAUCAGAACCAAAGGAGACACUUGAUUGACACCUGCAUGACCCAGAGGGUCACUAUGGGGAAUCCCAGGACCCGGUCUCAGGGAUCCCCACUAUGAGAUUUUAAGUGACACACACACAAAAUGUAUAUCCCCUGUAUUAUUAUUAUUAUUUUUUAAUGUCUGUUAUUUGCAUCUUCUCUGCCUGGAAACCAAACUUCCUCCCUGUUCAGUGAAAUACCAGGUGCUGGUCUUCCCUGCUGGAGGCCCCUUCCUGGCUUCCCAGUCUCUGCCCAGCCUUAGCCUUGAAGGCCUCUGAGGCAGAAGGAGGAUUCCAGCCCCCAAAAAAUGACGAAACACCGGACGCCCAGCUUUU